CUCAAGCAUGUUGUGGUAUAUUCCUAUUGGAAAAGGGAAUUUUUGUCAUUUAGCUAACUUGAUUUUGUUUGGAUGCGGCAGUUCAAGAGGAAUUAAGCGUCGCAAGACAAGCAGUACACCACACAGGAUGUUCUGCGGGUCCCAAACACGAAAAAUACAAAUCCGAGCCUCGGGAUCAAAAUGGGAAUUUCGAAGAAAGCUUCAAGAGACCCGUUGGGAAGCCGAAGAAAGGCCGUGAGAAGAAGCCUAAGCACCAAAGUUUGCAUCUACUGAUCCUAACAAGGAUUCGACAAACCAACUCGAUGUAAAGUUCCGGAAAUGUGUUUUCAAUCAAAUAAUGAAUUAAGUGUAGUGACAGUGUGAAGAAUUUUGAAGAAAAUAAAUUUAAAUUUUGAUGGAAUUCAAUUUGUUUUCAUUUUAUUGCCAGAAGUAGAAACGAAAAAAUAGUAGAAAGGAUCCAAAUAUCAUUGCGGUACUAAACACAUUUCAAGUAGCUUUCAUCUUCAUAACACGUUGAUCGCAUUAAAAAUUCACGUAAAUUGAACGUGAUCUCCAUAGAACAAAAUUCCUAUUAGGGGAGCGUUUACUUAUUUUAUUCGUACAAAUUACGUGAAAAUCAAUUGGAUAAAAAUUAUGUAGUUUUUCACGUAGCAGCGACGU
Uranotaenia lowii is the source of this 660-nucleotide long non-coding RNA. RefSeq lists it as uncharacterized. The record is from RefSeq and is a predicted model, not a curated record. Lineage: Eukaryota; Metazoa; Arthropoda; Insecta; Diptera; Culicidae. The transcript has 3 exons.